This 258-nucleotide ribosomal RNA is filed under the name uncultured bacterium. Its description in RNAcentral is "partial small subunit ribosomal RNA". It matches the Rfam family "Bacterial small subunit ribosomal RNA", at positions 26 to 285 of the family's 1533-position model. The record is from RNAcentral.
AGGACGAACGCUGGCGGCGUGCUUAACACAUGCAAGUCGAGCGAGGCCCCUCCUUCGGGAGGGUGUCCUAGCGGCGAACGGGUGAGUAACACGUGGGCAACCUGCCCUCAGCUCUGGGAUAACCCCGGGAAACCGGGGCUAAUACCGGAUACGACCUCCUUAGGCAUCUGAGGUGGUGAAAAGUUUUUCGGCUGAGGAUGGGCCCGCGGCCUAUCAGCUUGUUGGUGGGGUGAUGGCCUACCAAGGCGGUGACGGGUA